This is an RNA transcript of Eptesicus fuscus (big brown bat), 898 nucleotides long. RefSeq lists it as uncharacterized. The transcript is spliced from 7 exons. The record is from RefSeq and is a predicted model, not a curated record. NCBI's taxonomy places the organism in Eukaryota, Metazoa, Chordata, Mammalia, Chiroptera, Vespertilionidae.
GUAGCGGGGAGUGAUCUAAGCCCCAUCGCCGCGUUUCGGUGGCUAAAAACCCGGCGGCGGAAACGUGAAGGAGGAAGUGGGGCUUGUGUGCGGCCGGCUGGGGAAAUCCAGGGGGGUGUGGACGGCUGGAUGGAAACUCCCGCGCGGCUCUGGCCCUGCGGCGGAUACAGCGGUUCCAACCACGUCCCAGCAAGCAUCCCCCGUUUCUGCAUCAUGAAAGGCUCUCCACACAUGGGUGGCGUCUGAGGUCGGAGUCACUGUAGCUCCUACAACGAACACAUUUACAUUACUAACAUCCAAAGACGGCGUGGGGGUUACUUUCACAUUGAGUAGAAAAACUGUCUCUCCCCCCACCACCCCAUGUCUUUCCUUUCCUUUACUCUCACAAGACUAUCGCUUGCACAGCACCUCUGAUACUCUGGUCACCGGAUGUGAAGGACAUGAAACAGGAUACAGAUGACAAGCCAGAUGGAGAGACGCGUCAGGCGAGGUCUGGGAGGGUCCCAAGCGCAGGUGUUGAGGCUUAUUUUGCUUAGCAUAACAAUCUCCAGUCCCAUCCAAGCUAUUGCAAACGGAAACCCCACCCCUUUAAUAAAAGUCUGAAAGUCUGGGCCUCUCCAGUGACACCUGCCACUGCUUUUUAUCCACCGGGAGACAAAGAGAUUCCUGCAAUAGCCUACAAGGGUUAUAGUUGGGGAGGGGAGGGGGAAAGAAGAGACAGAAGAAAGAAACCAAGUAAUGACAGCGGAGAGGAGAGGAGAGAGUGUUGGGAGCUACCUGGCCGGCAUUGUCAUCUGUAUUUAAGACAUGCAUGUAAUUUAGGCAUCUGAAAGCCAGAGACGGUCCUAGAAAAUAAAUUUCCCAUGCUGCACAGCAAUUCAUCAACCCCGAGCCUCCU